Molecule: ribosomal RNA, 321 nt
Filed under: Triticum aestivum (bread wheat)
Lineage: Eukaryota; Viridiplantae; Streptophyta; Magnoliopsida; Poales; Poaceae
Description: partial small subunit ribosomal RNA
Source: RNAcentral
AUGGUCUCGGCGCAGUAGCGCGGCACGGAGAAGCCGCCGCCGUUGUUGGCGUCGGACUGCGUGAGCGUCUUGGCGAAGGAGGCGGGCUUGUCCUCCUGGGCCGCGGCGGCGGCGGCAAUGGCGUCGUCGGCGUCGGCGGCGUCCUGGGACCGGGCGGGGACGAGGCGGAUCUUGGCGAAGACCUCGUCGGUGUCCGGAUCGGCCAUGAAGCGGACGGCGGCGACGCGGCAGAGGACGAGCGCCUGCAGCCGGGCACCGGGCGGGAAGUCGACGGCGCCGGCCUGGCCCUGCGCAUGCUCCGCGUGGCCCUGCGGGAAGUAG